This 206-nucleotide ribosomal RNA is filed under the name uncultured bacterium. RNAcentral describes it as "partial 16S ribosomal RNA". It matches the Rfam family "Bacterial small subunit ribosomal RNA", at positions 568 to 774 of the family's 1533-position model. The record is from RNAcentral.
UGCGUAGGUGGUCUUGUAAGUCAGAAGUGAAAGGCUACGGCUUAACCGUAGUAAGCUUUUGAAACUGCAGGACUUGAGUGCAGGAGAGGAAAGUGGAAUUCCUAGUGUAGCGGUGAAAUGCGUAGAUAUUAGGAGGAACACCAGUGGCGAAGGCGACUUUCUGGACUGUUACUGACACUGAGGCACGAAAGCGUGGGGAGCGAACA